This 1366-nucleotide ribosomal RNA is filed under the name metagenome. RNAcentral describes it as "bacterial LSU rRNA". It matches the Rfam family "Bacterial large subunit ribosomal RNA", at positions 1581 to 2925 of the family's 2925-position model. The record is from RNAcentral.
GGUGCUGAAGCAACAAAUGCCCUGCUUCCAGGAAAAGCCUCUAAGCAUCAGGUAACAUCAAAUCGUACCCCAAACCGACACAGGUGGUCAGGUAGAGAAUACCAAGGCGCUUGAGAGAACUCGGGUGAAGGAACUAGGCAAAAUGGUGCCGUAACUUCGGGAGAAGGCACGCUGAUAUGUAGGUGAAGCGACUUGCUCGUGGAGCUGAAAUCAGUCGAAGAUACCAGCUGGCUGCAACUGUUUAUUAAAAACACAGCACUGCGCAAACACGAAAGUGGACGUAUACGGUGUGACGCCUGCCCGGUGCCGGAAGGUUAAUUGAUGGGGUUAGCGCAAGCGAAGCUCUUGAUCGAAGCCCCGGUAAACGGCGGCCGUAACAAUAACGGUCCUAAGGUAGCGAAAUUCCUUGUCGGGUAAGUUCCGACCUGCACGAAUGGCGUAAUGAUGGCCAGGCUGUCUCCACCCGAGACUCAGUGAAAUUGAACUCGCUGUGAAGAUGCAGUGUACCCGCGGCAAGACGGAAAGACCCCGUGAACCUUUACUAUAGCUUGACACUGAACAUUGAGCCUUGAUGUGUAGGAUAGGUGGGAGGCUUAGAAGUGUGGACGCCAGUCUGCAUGGAGCCGACCUUGAAAUACCACCCUUUAAUGUUUGAUGUUCUAACGUUGACCCGUAAUCCGGGUUGCGGACAGUGUCUGGUGGGUAGUUUGACUGGGGCGGUCUCCUCCUAAAGAGUAACGGAGGAGCACGUAGGUUGGCUAAUCCUGGUCGGACAUCAGGAGGUUAGUGCAAUGGCAUAAGCCAGCUUGACUGCGAGCGUGACAGCACGAGCAGGUGCGAAAGCAGGUCAUAGUGAUCCGGUGGUUCUGAAUGGAAGGGCCAUCGCUCAACGGAUAAAAGGUACUCCGGGGAUAACAGGCUGAUACCGCCCAAGAGUUCAUAUCGACGGCGGUGUUUGGCACCUCGAUGUCGGCUCAUCACAUCCUGGGGCUGAAGUAGGUCCCAAGGGUAUGGCUGUUCGCCAUUUAAAGUGGUACGCGAGCUGGGUUUAGAACGUCGUGAGACAGUUCGGUCCCUAUCUGCCGUGGGCGCUGGAGAACUGAGGGGGGCUGCUCCUAGUACGAGAGGACCGGAGUGGACGCAUCACAGGUGUUCGGGUUGUCAUGCCAAUGGCACUGCCCGGUAGCUAAAUGCGGAAGAGAUAAGUGCUGAAAGCAUCUAAGCACGAAACUUGCCCCGAGAUGAGUUCUCCCUGACCCUUUAAGGGUCCUGAAGGAACGUUGAAGACGACGACGUUGAUAGGCCGGGUGUGUAGGCGCAGCGAUGCGUUGAGCUAACCGGUACUAAUGAACCGUGAGGCUUAACC